This 184-nucleotide ribosomal RNA is filed under the name uncultured bacterium. RNAcentral describes it as "partial 16S ribosomal RNA". It matches the Rfam family "Bacterial small subunit ribosomal RNA", at positions 1317 to 1500 of the family's 1533-position model. The record is from RNAcentral.
ACCAUGAAGUUGGAAUUGCUAGUAAUCGCAGAUCAGAAUGCUGCGGUGAAUACGUUCCCGGGCCUUGUACACACCGCCCGUCACACCAUGGGAGCCGGUAAUACCCGAAGUCAGUAGUCUAACCGCAAGGGGGACGCUGCCGAAGGUAGGAUUGGCGACUGGGGUGAAGUCGUAACAAGGUAAC